Molecule: ribosomal RNA, 378 nt
Filed under: uncultured Peniculida
Lineage: Eukaryota; Ciliophora; Oligohymenophorea; Peniculida
Description: partial small subunit ribosomal RNA
Rfam family: Eukaryotic small subunit ribosomal RNA
Source: RNAcentral
GCUUGUCUCAAAGAUUAAGCCAUGCAUGUCUAAGUAUAAGCACCCUUAUACAGCGAAACUGCGUACAGCUCAUUAUAUCAGCAAUUAUUUAUUUGAAGGUCACCUAUUACAUGGAUAACCGUGGUAAAUCUAUGGCUAAUACAUGCGCAAAGGCCCGACCCUGAAGGGCUGUAUUUAUUAGAUCUAACCAUCAUUUGGUGAAUCAUAGUAACUGAUCGGACCGUGCGUUAGCGCGGUAAAUCGUUCAAGUUUCUGCCCUAUCAGCUUUCGAUGGUAGUGUAUUGGACUACCAUGGCAGUCACGGGUAACGGAGAAUUAGGGUUCGGUUCCGGAGAGGGAGCCUGAGAAACGGCUACCACAUCUAAGGAAGGCAGCAGG